This 406-nucleotide ribosomal RNA is filed under the name uncultured bacterium. RNAcentral describes it as "partial 16S ribosomal RNA". It matches the Rfam family "Bacterial small subunit ribosomal RNA", at positions 29 to 526 of the family's 1533-position model. The record is from RNAcentral.
AUUGAACGCUGGCGGCAGGCCUAACACAUGCAAGUCGAACGAGUGGCGGACGGGUGAGUAAUGUCUGGGAAACUGCCUGAUGGAGGGGGAUAACUACUGGAAACGGUAGCUAAUACCGCAUACCAUCGGAUGUGCCCAGAUGGGAUUAGCUAGUAGGUGGGGUAAAGGCUCACCUGGGUGAUGAGCCCUACCUGGUCUGAGAGGAUGAACAGCCAGACUGGAACGGAGACACGGUCCAGAAUCCGACGGGAGGCAGCAGGGGGGAAUAUUGCACAAUGGGCGCAAGCCUGAGGCAGCCAUGCCGCGUGUAUGAAGAAGGCCUUCGGGUUGUAAAGGACUUGCAGCUGGGAGGCGUUACCCGCAGAAGAAGCACCGGCUAACUCCGUGCCAGCAGCCGCGGUAAUAC